UACGUAGGGUGCAAGCGUUGUCCGGAAUUAUUGGGCGUAAAGAGCUCGUAGGCGGUCUGUUGCGUCGGCUGUGAAAACCCGGGGCUCAACCCCGGGCCUGCAGCCGAUACGGGCAGACUAGAGUUCGGCAGGGGAGACUGGAAUUCCUGGUGUAGCGGUGAGAUGCGCAGAUAUCAGGAGGAACACCGGUGGCGAAGGCGGGUCUCUGGGCCGAUACUGACGCUGAGGAGCGAAAGCGUGGGGAGCGGACAGG
RNAcentral lists this ribosomal RNA (253 nucleotides) under uncultured bacterium. RNAcentral's name for it is "partial 16S ribosomal RNA". It matches the Rfam family "Bacterial small subunit ribosomal RNA", at positions 524 to 776 of the family's 1533-position model. The record is from RNAcentral.